This is a long non-coding RNA of Phalaenopsis equestris, 392 nucleotides long. RefSeq lists it as uncharacterized. The transcript is spliced from 3 exons. The record is from RefSeq and is a predicted model, not a curated record. NCBI's taxonomy places the organism in Eukaryota, Viridiplantae, Streptophyta, Magnoliopsida, Asparagales, Orchidaceae.
AGCUUUUACAGGAAUUGCUAGGAAAUGUACUGAUCCCAAAGUCUGAUAUUGUGCAGGCGUGUAAAUGUUUACUGAAAGAGAAGCAGAGUACAAAUGUAUUGAGAUUUUUCCAAACCAUUAAUCGGCGAUAUGAUAUCACUGUGAAGUUGAAGCAGCUACGUUGCAAAACAUUAAUAUUUGUUGGAGAGAUUUCUCCUUUUCAUUCUGAAUCACUUCACAUGAUCUUGAAGAUGGUUCACCAAUGUGGUGCACUUGUGGAGGUAUUUUUAUGUUACUUAAACGUGAUAUUUUUUGGUAUGCCAUCAAAAUUUUGAAUAGUAUUGCUACAUUGUUUUGCAUUAUUUAUUCAUUCAAAUAUUAGUUUUACAAUUGAAUAAAGUGUCACAAUAAUU